AUGACUUUUGCGGCAUUAGUUUCAUUUGUAAUUGUAUUAAUUAGAAACUGCAGCUCUAAUAAUCAUUCACAGAGAUGUUUCUUAAUAGUUUGUUAUUUGGUUUUCUUCACUUUAGAAAAAACUAAGAAGGUGAGGAAAAGGAAAGCAGUGCAUGCGUUCUUCUGGAGACUCCGUAAGACUGUAAAGCACCUCUUCCUCUGCCGUGACUCGACUCGAACACCUGUCGAAGUCCCAUCUGAGAUGAAGUCAGUGGAUGACGACAUCCCUGUGGAGCCGGAGCCGGAGCCGGAGCCGGUCUGUCUGAGCAGGUCUGAGCAGGUCUGUGCAGCUCUCCAGUCCUCCACGUCUGUGCAAGCAGCCGACGCAGAUCCAGACGCUCCAGUGUUGAUGCAUGUCUCAGAUUCAUCCGAUUCAGAGAUCAGUCUGGAUUGUGGAUCUAGAGUGUGUCUCUUUCUGGUGGGAGAGCUUCUAGGAUACGGGAGUUUUGGCAAGGUGUAUGAGGGAACCCACAUAUUUGAUGAUAGAAUUAAGGUCGCCAUGAAGUACAUCCACAAGCACAAAAAUGACCGCCGUCUUCACUUUGUAAGUUAACAAAUCUAAGGAUAAUUUUGGUUGAUUCUGAGUAAUUAUUAUUGUGCUGUAAAUACUUGUAGCUAACUAACAUAAAGCAGAAAUAAAUUAGACAACAAAGAUGUAAGUGCA
Cyprinus carpio (common carp) is the source of this 702-nucleotide long non-coding RNA. The record is from Ensembl. Lineage: Eukaryota; Metazoa; Chordata; Actinopteri; Cypriniformes; Cyprinidae.